RNAcentral lists this small RNA (127 nucleotides) under Acidobacteriota bacterium. RNAcentral's name for it is "6S RNA". It matches the Rfam family "6S / SsrS RNA", at positions 36 to 151 of the family's 187-position model. From Rfam's summary of the family: E. coli 6S RNA was the first non coding RNA to be sequenced, but its function was unknown until recently. The record is from RNAcentral. Lineage: Bacteria; Pseudomonadati; Acidobacteriota.
UUGAGCCAACAGCUUGUUCCCGGGAGCCCGGACUCCGCCGGCGGUGCGCAGGCCUCCCCGAGGCUCCGGCCGCCGGGAGGAAGCCUAAACCGGCGGGAGGGCACCCACCUGGCCGUACCGGCUUCAA